This 468-nucleotide ribosomal RNA is filed under the name uncultured bacterium. Its description in RNAcentral is "partial 16S ribosomal RNA". It matches the Rfam family "Bacterial small subunit ribosomal RNA", at positions 28 to 507 of the family's 1533-position model. The record is from RNAcentral.
GACGAACGCUGGCGGCGUGCUUAACACAUGCAAGUCGAACGGAAAGGCCCUGCUUUUGUGGGGUGCUCGAGUGGCGAACGGGUGAGUAACACGUGAGUAACCUGCCCUUGACUUUGGGAUAACUUCAGGAAACUGGGGCUAAUACCGGAUAGGGGCUCCUGCUGCAUGGUGGGGGUUGGAAAGUUUCGGCGGUUGGGGAUGGACUCGCGGCUUAUCAGCUUGUUGGUGGGGUAGUGGCUUACCAAGGCUUUGACGGGUAGCCGGCCUGAGAGGGUGACCGGCCACAUUGGGACUGAGAUACGGCCCAGACUCCUACGGGAGGCAGCAGUGGGGAAUAUUGCACAAUGGGCGGAAGCCUGAUGCAGCAACGCCGCGUGCGGGAUGACGGCCUUCGGGUUGUAAACCGCUUUCGCCUGCGACGAAGCGUGAGUGACGGUAAUGGGUAAAGAAGCACCGGCUAACUACGUG